Long non-coding RNA from Vespula pensylvanica (western yellowjacket), 1106 nucleotides. RefSeq lists it as uncharacterized. The transcript is spliced from 2 exons. The record is from RefSeq and is a predicted model, not a curated record. NCBI's taxonomy places the organism in Eukaryota, Metazoa, Arthropoda, Insecta, Hymenoptera, Vespidae.
AUGUCUAAUUCGACUUUGGAGUACCAGUUGCCUUAUACAGUAAAGCCGAUCGUAAAGCCAUACGAUUCAACGAGUUUUCUUCUUGGAUGCAUGUAUCAGUGUCUGUGCAUCCCUAUGAUCGUUUCCGGUUACAUUGGAAUCGAUUGUCUUUUCGCUAGUUCAGCCCUUCACGUAACCGCGCAAUUUGCGAUACUGAAACACAGAAUUAGGAAAAGUUUAAAGGAUUGCGAACGAGGUAUAAGGGAAAUAAUCGUUGACCAUUGUCAUCUCAUUAAGUAAGUAUCGUUUGUGUGCUCGUCGAUGUACGUCAAUGAAGCGAGAAAGUCAAAGAAUUAAUUCUAGUUAGAAGACGUCCAAGUAUCGUUCCGGAUGUAUACUAAACGCACGUUUCAGAUUGGCAGAAACAUUGGAAGAUAAUUUUACUGGUAUUAUUUUUCAACAAUUAUUAGGGAUUACGUUCCAGCUUUGUAUAUCUGGUUAUCACAUACUCGUGGUAUAACGAACAAAUAUCUAAAUACGAUAAAUGCUUUUUUCUUCUUCUUUUCUCCCUCUCAAAAGUUUUAGCGUUCUUUUUCAGUACGCGGCAAACGAGGACGUUCAAGUCGUUGUUUUCCUAAUAUAUGUUCUUGCAUUAUCAAGUAUAUUAUUUGUCUACUGUUACAUCGGCGAAUGUCUCAUUCAGGAAAGCACGAACUUGAACGAAGCGUUCUACGAUAUAAAAUGGUACGAAAUGUUAAGGAAAAAUUUAAAGUCAAUUUACAUUUGCAUGAUGCGCACGAGGAAGCCGCUCCAACUGACGUCUGCCAAAUUUCGGGCCUUAUCCUUGUGCACCUUUACCGACGUGAGUAAAACGUCCUUAUAGUACAAUUUGAUGUCUUUGUAUUAUAUUUUCAUAUGAAUUUUAUGCGAAUCAAAUAUUUAUCAAGUUUAUUCGUAGAUACUGAAGACAUCUAUGGGAUACCUAUCCGUUUUGCGAAAUUUUUUAUAAAUUAAUUCACCCUGUUAAUGCGCUAGCGCAAAUUGUUACACUAUAGACAAUCUAUUCUAUUUCUUAUGAUAAAAAUCUGAGUGAUCCGACACACGAGGAAACAUUCAGAAUUACGAAA